RNAcentral lists this unclassified non-coding RNA (343 nucleotides) under soil metagenome. RNAcentral's name for it is "partial contains 5.8S ribosomal RNA, internal transcribed spacer 2, and large subunit ribosomal RNA". The stretch from base 1 to 120 matches the Rfam family "5.8S ribosomal RNA", at positions 35 to 154 of the family's 154-position model. The record is from RNAcentral.
GAUGAAGAACGUAGCGAAAUGCGAUAAGUAAUGUGAAUUGCAGAAUUCAGUGAAUCAUCGAAUCUUUGAACGCACAUUGAGCCCGCCAGCAUUCUGGCGGGCAUGCCUGUUCGAGCGUCAUUUCAACCCUCGAGCCCCCCCGGGGGCCUCGGUGUUGGGGGACGGCACACCAGCCGCCCCCGAAAUGCAGUGGCGACCCCGCCGCAGCCUCCCCUGCGUAGUAGCACACACCUCGCACCGGAGCGCGGAGGCGGUCACGCCGUAAAACGCCCAACUUUCUUAGAGUUGACCUCGGAUCAGGUAGGAAUACCCGCUGAACUUAAGCAUAUCAAUAAGCGGAGGA